GGGUGAGUAACACGUGGAUAACCUACCUAUAAGACUGGGAUAACUUCGGGAAACCGGAGCUAAUACCGGAUAAUAUUUUGAACCGCAUGGUUCAAAAGUGAAAGACGGUCUUGCUGUCACUUAUAGAUGGAUCCGCGCUGCAUUAGCUAGUUGGUAAGGUAACGGCUUACCAAGGCAACGAUGCAUAGCCGACCUGAGAGGGUGAUCGGCCGCACUGGAACUGAGACACGGUCCAG
RNAcentral lists this ribosomal RNA (236 nucleotides) under uncultured Staphylococcus sp. Its description in RNAcentral is "partial 16S ribosomal RNA". It matches the Rfam family "Bacterial small subunit ribosomal RNA", at positions 104 to 334 of the family's 1533-position model. The record is from RNAcentral. Lineage: Bacteria; Bacillati; Bacillota; Bacilli; Caryophanales; Staphylococcaceae.